UUUGGUAAGCAAGUGAAAUAACAAUGUUGACAUUUAAAAUAUAAUCACUGGCAUCUGAUACAGCACCCACAUGGGACAGGUUCACAUUCCCCUGAAUUACCAUUUCAGGUGCUAGUUUAAACUGCCGUCAUUUUUAAACUGCGGCAGCCGAAGACUUGUUCUGUGCUUAUUCAUUCAUAAUUCAUUCUCUGAAAUGCCUUUCUUACUUCUACUUGGCACGAAGUAUCUGCUUUUUGGCCUAAAGGCAUCUUUGUUUCAGUUUCCAGAUCCCUGUGAUAGGAGUGGGGAGGGGGAAAAUGGUAGGUUCAGAAACAGCCCAACGCUCAAGAAGCCUAAUGGGCUAAGGGAAUUUAGCAAGUGUAAAAGAGAUGCUAAGUCACAACUUGAAGCAGUGACUGAGCACCUGCUGGGAAGGCAGGGCCAGCCCCGGGGAGCUCAGGUGUAUGCAAUGCACCUGAGUGACCAGAAGGGGUGGAGCCAGGAUCCACCCCUUCCCAGACCUCAUUGAAGGGUUGGCAGUGGAGGCAAGGGGAUCUUGUUGGUGAUCUCUAUGCAUCUGAGGCCUUCUGAAGCUGAAGGAUAACUUGCAGUUGUUCACGCCCAGGCUUUGCUGCUGGCAUGCCCGCCGUUCUUCCCCAGAAUCUGCAUGUUACGACAUCAGCUGGAAGUUCAGAGCCUUGGUGUAUUUAGUCGAGAUAUUUUCCAGUGGAGCGCUGAUAACUGCUUCAUCCACGCUCCAAUCUGAAUACUGGCAAUGGAAGUUAUGGGGGGUGCACAGCCUAGGACUGGUAUACAAACGAUGCAAAUAACUAACACUGCAAAUGGAGCUCCAUCAGAAUGGACCAAUUAGACAUCGCACUGAAGAGAGACUUGUGGAACAUCAGGAAUAAUGAGCCAAUCCAGCUAAACUUCAACAGCGAGGAGAAAAAAGGAACCUCUUGAGAACGGCAGAUUGAGAAAUGACUGCAUUAAAUACAAAAAGGGAUCCUACAAAACUGAUUCCGUCCCUGCACGGAGCCGUGGGGUGGGGGCAGGGAGCUGGGCAUGGCUGGGAGCUGGGCAUGGCUCAGCAUGGAGGGCGCCUGCUGCUACUCAUGUGUUCAUGAGAACGUGUUGUUGGCCUGGCAUACGGCAGGAAUGGCUUAUUCGUUAUAUACCACGUCUCAUGGCUAAUUGUUUUGCACCUAUCUGAAGUGGGGGAGGUGGCCCCGCUGCAGACCACUGGGGUUUGGCAGCUGCAGGUCCUGUUCCUGUAUCGUUAUGGGUCAGCUGGGAGCAGACUUUGAAUAUCAGGAGAUGCAGACAGGCACCGAAUGGGGUUCCCAGAAGCUCCGGUGCACAUUGAUCUCGCACCUCCCUGCAGCUCUCAGGGCUCGGGCACACGCAGGGAUCCAUCCCUGGGAUCCGUGCGGCAGCGCAUCCCAGCACAGCUUCCACUGGAGAGCCCUCAGCCAACAUAAAUCACCGCCACCGGUGGAGCUGUGCUGAUUUGCACCGCUCACAGACUUUAAAUUAAAAUUUAAUUGAAAACUUAAGCUGUCAUUAGUUUUCAAUGAAUGGCUUUUGCAGGAAUGCAGCCGCUCUGCACCCGCUGGGUCUCUGGUGCAGCAGGGACACGUCACAGCACCACGGCUGCUGUGCUCUGAUCCCCACCUCUACCUUCCCCUUCAGCACCGUCUGCUGGCACGUUCCCUGCGAUCCCUCUAUUGGAAGAUGGGUGAUUUCCAUGCAAAUCUCAUUAGUUACCUUCAUCCCCUAGUCUACAGUGUAAUUGACUUUCUGGGACCUUGACUGGAUCGUGGCUUCCCCAGCUGGCCUUCUGUUAGACUGCAUCUUCCAUUCAGUGUUGCCCUGGAAAUGAAAGCAAAGAGCAACAAUUUACAAGAUAAGUGUGUAUACCUCUGUGUGCGUGCACCUGUGCAUGAGGUCCAACACAAAUACAUAUGCAUACAGCAGUGUAUUUAUUUUAACCCCGUAACAAAUUGAUCUUGAGCCUGGACAAGGACUCCCGCGUGCCACUGGCAGCAGGCAGAUUGCUCACCUGGAUUUCUCUGGGAAGCAGCUGCAUUCAGGAGAAUUCCUGCGUGCAGGUAACACCACGUAACACCAGGUCUGCUCCCCCCCCCAAGGAUGCUUCAUUCCGUACCCAUGUGAUUUCCUUCCCCAUCGCUUAACCCCAAAUUAAAAUCCUCGUGGUAAAACUUCGGUCUCUGCAUAGUAUGGAGGUGUGCUUGAGGAAGAGCCCUUCCCGUAACCAGCUGACUCCGUUAGCGGGGCAGUGGGCGCUCAGCUCCCUCCGUUCAGCACCGUCCCUGCUCUGCAAAUGAAGAGAAGUGCUCUGGGCACACAGGGCACAGGAGGGGGCACAGGACAUCUUCUGAGUAAUGUAUGGAAAGCACAAAUCUCAUUAAGCCGUAAUCACCGACGUGUCAGGGAAUCGCGGGUGCGGCAGCUACAGUGCAGCUCAGUGGGCACUACAGACACAGCACCGGAGCCAGGGGCAUGUGUUGUUCCUGGUGUGUGAGAAGGCCGAAAGCUCCUGGAAUUCCCCCAGCUGGCUGGGGUUCAAUGGACCAUUCAAUAAAACGAAUGACCCAGACCACCCGUGCGUGAGCUGUUACGCUCUCCAAGCACUGAGUGUCUGCAAUUACGCAGAGCAGCGCUGUGCCCCACGGCCGCCCUCCUGGAGGCAUCCACACGGCUGAACCCUGCUCAUACUAACCACCCCGAGCUGAUCUGCAGCUCAGACUCCCGGUUCUGACCCAAACACUCCCGUUAGACCUCGAGCCAUUACAGAUAAUCAAUUUGCAUUAAAGGUCUGCAGUUCUCAGCAGUCAGUUUGCUCCUUUGCCUGCGAAGUUUUCCUGGGCCCCUCUGCAGGGUGACCCUGUGCUGGCGAGCUGAGUGUGCAGUGAGGGGCUCUGCCCUUGGGAGGGGGGAACAGAGCAGUGAGCAGCUGA
This is a long non-coding RNA of Numida meleagris (helmeted guineafowl), 2960 nucleotides long. RefSeq lists it as uncharacterized. The transcript has 4 exons. The record is from RefSeq and is a predicted model, not a curated record. NCBI's taxonomy places the organism in Eukaryota, Metazoa, Chordata, Aves, Galliformes, Numididae.